Long non-coding RNA from Helicoverpa armigera (cotton bollworm), 410 nucleotides. RefSeq lists it as uncharacterized. NCBI's taxonomy places the organism in Eukaryota, Metazoa, Arthropoda, Insecta, Lepidoptera, Noctuidae. The transcript is spliced from 3 exons. The record is from RefSeq and is a predicted model, not a curated record.
GCAUUUACAAAGUAUGUCGGGGUCCUACCGUCGUCAUGUGGUCAGUUUUUAUGCUGAGAAGAAUCAGUGUAAAGCUCAAAGAACGAGCUAUACGAGUGUUAAGCCUCUCGACAUUGAAAACGUAAAUGUGCAGAGAUGGUGCAGUAUUUGUGCGGAAUCUGUCUCCUAGGAUAUUUUAGGGUCUGCCUGUUCAUAUCAAUGUUCUUUGUUCGGGUCCUGCUUAGGUCAUUAACAACAUUACUAACCACUGUUAGCAAAUUUUUUAAGCAAUUUGUUUUUGCAGUGAAUACAAGGGUGCCUAUGCUACAACUCUUCCCGAAGAAAGGCAGAGAGAGAGACACACUAAUGACCUUAGCGGUAGCUUACUACAAGCUGCAACUCACAGAAGAGCAACUAUUACGAAUAUCUUU